This is a long non-coding RNA of Coregonus clupeaformis (lake whitefish), 1355 nucleotides long. RefSeq lists it as uncharacterized. Lineage: Eukaryota; Metazoa; Chordata; Actinopteri; Salmoniformes; Salmonidae. The transcript is spliced from 3 exons. The record is from RefSeq and is a predicted model, not a curated record.
UAUAUCCGCUGCACGCUCACUCAAAAAUGAUAACACUGCUCCCUCCACUUCAGACAGGAACAGAGACAGGCAAACAUGUACAGUAGGGGGGAUAGAGGAGGGUGUUAGCCCCUCCUUACUGCUGUAAAAGAAGAAGAAAAAAAUAGAAAAAGAAAAAAGAGCAGGAGGAAGAAAGGAAACCACAGCCAUACGGGCAGUGCUCCUCGGCUGAACUGUAUAUGCUGCCUGUUUACCAGUGGGGAGAAUACAUUAUAUGGCGGCGUGCUCCUCCCUCUCCCCAGCCAGGCAGCCUUAUCUGUCAGCCAUUAGUUAAUCAGGGCUGGUAACAUAGAAGGAGAGCAGAAAACCAGCACAGCUCGUAGGACAAAAGGACAGCUUCAUCUCUGAGAGCUGAGCUGAGCUGAGCAGAGCAGGAGGAGGGCAAGGACCUGGGGAACGACCGACCACUCCACUCUGCACUCUACUGCCAGGCUAAGCUGCUGCCUCACUCUCCUCAACACUGGAUCAGGCAUGGCAGGCUGCAAUUGCAUGAUGACCCCGCCCAUUCCAUCGCAGAGGACAGGUCCUGUUUUGCAAGGAAGUUUCAAAGACAGAAGUCAAAACAACACAUGUUGUCGACGUGGGAACAGCUGGUAAGAGCAGAGCGUCGUGGGGCGGAGGAAUGUCAGAGUCAUAGAUCUUUCAUCCUCAAGGCCAAAAUAGCCACACACAGGCCUGAUCAUCUCCCUGCACUGGAAGAAACACUAAGCAACACCUCAUACUAACACUAAUAGAGUCCAGUCCAACCCUGGCCAACGUGGUCCAAAUCUGGCAUCCACCAAUGUGGUCCAAAUCUGGCAUCCAGACAUCAGUGGCCAAAGAGAUAUCGUCAGACAAUUACUACACGAGUAAGUAGGCUGUAUUAACUGAAAUGAAUUGGUAUUAACUCGCAAAUAGGAUUUACUCACAAAACAUUUGGUACAAACCAAUGUCAUAAGUAUAUUUAGGUACCGAAGGUAAAAAAUAAGGACAUUUCUAUUUAGAGUCAUAUUGGCGUCACCAUGGAGUUCAUUAUAAGGGUAAUGAUGAUUGAAAAGGAUAUUGCAACGUCUAAAUAAUUAUUGGUCUGUGUUAACAAAGUUGACAAAAUGUCCACUACAAGAGCUUCAGGCUGCUUGUGAUGGAAAAUGAAAGCAGUCGAUUAAACUCAACUGUGUAGUUGGUGCCAAACUGUGCCUGAAAUUCUAAAGUGUCCUUUUGGCAAAUUCCAUCCAUCCAAAUUCCAUCUUCUUCUUAGUGUGAAGAAGCUCAAUUGUGGUCCUCUGUAGCUCAAUUGGUAGAGCAUGGCGCUUGUAACGCCAGGGUAGUGGGUUUGA